This 484-nucleotide ribosomal RNA is filed under the name uncultured bacterium. RNAcentral describes it as "partial 16S ribosomal RNA". It matches the Rfam family "Bacterial small subunit ribosomal RNA", at positions 30 to 507 of the family's 1533-position model. The record is from RNAcentral.
AUUGAACGCUGGCGGCAGGCCUAACACAUGCAAGUCGAGCGGAUGAAGGGAGCUUGCUCCUGGAUUCAGCGGCGGACGGGUGAGUAAUGCCUAGGAAUCUGCCUGGUAGUGGGGGAUAACGUCCGGAAACGGGCGCUAAUACCGCAUACGUCCUGAGGGAGAAAGUGGGGGAUCUUCGGACCUCACGCUAUCAGAUGAGCCUAGGUCGGAUUAGCUAGUUGGUGGGGUAAAGGCCUACCAAGGCGACGAUCCGUAACUGGUCUGAGAGGAUGAUCAGUCACACUGGAACUGAGACACGGUCCAGACUCCUACGGGAGGCAGCAGUGGGGAAUAUUGGACAAUGGGCGAAAGCCUGAUCCAGCCAUGCCGCGUGUGUGAAGAAGGUCUUCGGAUUGUAAAGCACUUUAAGUUGGGAGGAAGAGAAGUAAGUUAAUACCUUGCUGUUUUGACGGUACCAACAGAAUAAGCACCGGCUAACUUCGUG